AGCGAACGCUGGCGGCAUGCCUAACACAUGCAAGUCGAACGAGACCUUCGGGUCUAGUUGCGCACGGGUGCGUAACGCGUGGGAACCUGCCCUUAGGUUCGGAAUAACUCCCCGAAAGGGGUGCUAAUACCGGAUAAUGUCUUCGGACCAAAGAUUUAUCGCCUUUGGAUGGGCCCGCGUUGGAUUAGCUAGUUGGUAGGGUAAAAGCCUACCAAGGCGACGAUCCAUAGCUGGUCUGAGAGGAUGAUCAGCCACACUGGGACUGAGACACGGCCCAGACUCCUACGGAAGGCAGCAGUGGGGAAUAUUGGAGAAUGGGCGAAAGCCUGAUCCAGCAAUGCCGCGUGAGUGAUGAAGGCCUUAGGGUUGUAAAGCUCUUUUACCCGGGAUGAUAAUGACAGUACCGGGAGAAUAAGCUCCGGCUAACUCCGUG
This 433-nucleotide ribosomal RNA is filed under the name uncultured bacterium. RNAcentral describes it as "partial 16S ribosomal RNA". It matches the Rfam family "Bacterial small subunit ribosomal RNA", at positions 29 to 507 of the family's 1533-position model. The record is from RNAcentral.